This is a long non-coding RNA of Mytilus californianus (California mussel), 1101 nucleotides long. RefSeq lists it as uncharacterized. The transcript is spliced from 3 exons. The record is from RefSeq and is a predicted model, not a curated record. Lineage: Eukaryota; Metazoa; Mollusca; Bivalvia; Mytilida; Mytilidae.
UUUCCUUCCCGAUGACGACAAAUAGUAUUUUUAACUGCCUCUUUCAGGUGCAACACGCCAUAUCAUAGAUCAUAGAUUUUGUAUUGUAAAUACAAUACUUACACAAAGUAUAUCGUUGCCAUAUAACUCGACGAAUUUUAAAAGCUACAUAAAAAAAUGGCUAAUCAAUCAAAUAACCGUGCAAUUGAUGACAUGAAACUGUGGUCUGUAAAAUGUCUGAAUGUAAAAGCUGGUCAGAAGUGUUGUUACAUCCGAAGUUGCGCUAUACUGCCAAAUAAACAACUUAUAUUUGCCGAUGAAAACAACCAACGACUUGUUGUGAUAGGAAAUGACGGCAAUCAUGUAUUUGAUAUUAUAGUCUCUCAUAGACCGUUUGAUAUUGAACCCAUAGAUUCUGAAAAAAUUGCUGUGUCCUAUGGAAUGGCAAAGUAUAUUGAAAUAAUAAACAUAGGAAAUAAGAAAGUAGAAAGCCGAAUGAAUUUGAAAGGAUUUUGUUCCGGAAUCACCCUUGUUAAUGGAAAACUACUUGUUCUUGUGAACGGACAUGGAAUACAAGAAAUUGAUUUAACGAAACAAACUAUUACCUCAUUAGAAUUGCCAGUUAAACAGUCAUUUGUAAUCACUUCCGGUGGUGAUCGCUUAUACUGUGCGGAUUUAAAAUCCAAUUCUUUGUGUUGUUAUAUGUCGGGGAUAUUGGUCUGGCGGUUGACAUCCCCUCUGUUGCAGAUCAGCCAAGCUAUUUCUGCUGAUGCAUGCGGCAAUGUAUUUCUGGCAGAGACCGAUAGUAAUCAAAUUGUAGCAAUCUCAUGUGAUGGUGGAAAUACCCGAAAACUGUUGGAUGACAAGCAAGGGAUUAUUUUACCAUCAGCGGUGUAUUAUGACAAAUCUACAAAACAUUUACUAGUUUGUAACAGAGAAAACGGUCGAGCUUUCUUGUACAGUUUAAUGUAAUAAAUAUAAAUAAAAGGUGAUAUGGGUAUGCGUCAAUUCGACGUGCUUAGAUUUCAAAUAUGAUGUAGACCACAUUUUUUUUUACUUGAACAUGUCACGCCAUAGUUGUUUCUUUAAAUAAAAACAAAAUAAAGUAAUGAUAGAAGAUGA